This 435-nucleotide ribosomal RNA is filed under the name uncultured bacterium. RNAcentral's name for it is "partial 16S ribosomal RNA". It matches the Rfam family "Bacterial small subunit ribosomal RNA", at positions 28 to 507 of the family's 1533-position model. The record is from RNAcentral.
GAUGAACGCUGGCGGUAUGCUUAACACAUGCAAGUCGAACGGACUCUUCGGAGUUAGUGGCGGACGGGUGAGUAACGCGUGAGAAUCUGGCUUUGGGUUCGGGACAACCACUGGAAACGGUGGCUAAUACCGGAUGUGCCGAGAGGUAAAUGAGAAAUUGCCUGAAGAUGAGCUCGCGUCUGAUUAGCUAGUUGGUGAGGUAAAGGCUCACCAAGGCAGCGAUCAGUAGCUGGUCUGAGAGGAUGACCAGCCACACUGGGACUGAGACACGGCCCAGACUCCUACGGGAGGCAGCAGUGGGGAAUUUUCCGCAAUGGGCGAAAGCCUGACGGAGCAAUACCGCGUGAGGGAAGAAGGCUCUUGGGGUGUAAACCUCUUUUCUUAGGGAAGAACAAAAUGACGGUACCUAAGGAAUCAGCAUCGGCUAACUCCGUG